UGGAAGCGAGUUCCUUGGCCCGUGUGUGCUUCCAGUGCUCUAGUGUGGAGCAGCCAGUAGCGUCCCCAAGCUGCGUGCACACACAUGCCUAUGGUGGUAGUCAGGUUGCCAGAGUUGUGUGAAAAACUGCUGUCUGACUUAAUUUGCAACCUCAGCCAUCACUAAAAAAGCCGGGUGAACCACCUUAACUGGGAUCUCAUCUUGUGACCCAAACGUCCCCUUGAACGAAGCAAGAAUGAAGCUUAAGCAGACCUGAGAUAAAAAAGGAUCAGGAUCCAAGGAUCUUGUAUACAAUUUCUGGUCGUCUUUGACAAGUUGGAGUCCCUCAGGGAACAACAGGGGGAUGUCACUGGCUGAGCUGGCACUGGAAGGGAAUUUGCGCCCAACUCCACUUGCAUCUGGUUUUCUCCUGAAUCGGGGCUGGGGAGCCUUCAGGGCAGAGCAAUAAUACGAGAGGAAGAAUGGUCUACUCCUCCAAGCAAAAGAAAAGCUGAGCUACCAUGCUCUUAAUGGGAGUCUCUGGUGGUAGUGUUCCCUGCUGCUACAUGGCGCCACUACAAUGAAGAGUCCCAGCUCCUGGAGUCAGAUGAUUAUGUGAGAAUCAUCAGCCUUCAUUUUAAACAAAAAGCUAAUCUCUAGCCCUCCUGGGUGCAGAGAAAAACUUGAGAACGCAACAUGACUGUAACUCUACAGGCUCAGAAACCAGAACGCAAGGAUGCAAAUGACUGAGGUUCAGGAGCUGUGACUUCUAGUUCUUGUUUUCCUGGUCUGUCUUUGUGCCUGUGGGCUCCUGAAGCUCAAGCUGACCUCUGCAGCAAGACUACAAAUGUUCGGACGUGAAGCUGGCUGGAGAUUUAUGCCCCCAAAAUUCAUUAUUAGUCACCAUUUGCCAGGGGCCCACACCUUUCACAAUCCUCUAGCCAUUAAAUAAUCCAUUGACCAGAGCUGAGGCAGAAUGUGAUUGAAAUUGAAGGCCCUGUUGAUGAGGGGGCGGAAAAGUCUGUUACUUUAUCAGGUGAUGUUCUCUGAUGACAUUUAGCGUCUCGAAGUCUGUCUGACCCACGCUGUUUCACUGCAGCUGUCCUUUCUCCUGUAACUUAGCAUCACAAGGUCCAUCUCUAAUGGAAAAAUGAUCCAUUGCUGAUAUUCCUAUCACUCUCCCUAGGUGGUGUUGAAACCAGUCUAACUGCUAGUAUUGAUAGAACAAAACUGCUGUCAACUAGAGCUGGUCAAAAAACAGAAAUAAAUGUUUGCAAAAAAGUCAUUUUCAUUCUGCUGGUUUCAAAAGAGAACAAUUUUUUGUUCAAAAUUUUUCAUGAAAAUGUUUUAUAAAAAACACAACUUUGAUCCCCCCCCUUCCUUCUUUUCAUCUCUUUUUACCUU
Mauremys reevesii (Reeves's turtle) is the source of this 1383-nucleotide long non-coding RNA. RefSeq lists it as uncharacterized. Lineage: Eukaryota; Metazoa; Chordata; Testudines; Geoemydidae. The transcript has 8 exons. The record is from RefSeq and is a predicted model, not a curated record.